This 398-nucleotide long non-coding RNA is filed under the name Sorghum bicolor (sorghum). RNAcentral describes it as "long non-coding RNA (SBIC_LNC016790)". Lineage: Eukaryota; Viridiplantae; Streptophyta; Magnoliopsida; Poales; Poaceae. The record is from RNAcentral.
CCAGGCUGCGCAGCCUCUCUAUCUCAGAGGCCUCAUUAGCCAUGUAAGCAAGCUGGCCCUCAAGCUUUGCCUCCCUCUCUUCCAUCUCCCUCACCAGGCUGCGCAGUCUCUCUAUCUCAGAGGCCUUGUUAGCCAUGUAAGCAAGCUCGCCCUCAAGCUUUGCCUCCCUCUCUUCCAUCUCUCUCACCAGGCUGCGCAGUCUCUCUAUCUCAGAGGCCUCGUUAGCCAUGUAAGCAAGCUCGCCCUCAAGCUUUGCCUCCCUUUCUUCCAUCUCUCUCACCAGGCUGCGCAGUCUCUCUAUCUCAGAGGCCUCGUUAGCCAUGUAAGCAUUGUACCGUGGCCGUCCAUUGACAUCAAACCGAUCACGUGGUAUAGGGAUGUCAAUGUCUCCUGACAGG